RNAcentral lists this ribosomal RNA (753 nucleotides) under Trinickia caryophylli. RNAcentral's name for it is "bacterial SSU rRNA". It matches the Rfam family "Bacterial small subunit ribosomal RNA", at positions 28 to 776 of the family's 1533-position model. Lineage: Bacteria; Pseudomonadati; Pseudomonadota; Betaproteobacteria; Burkholderiales; Burkholderiaceae. The record is from RNAcentral.
AUUGAACGCUGGCGGCAUGCUUUACACAUGCAAGUCGAACGGCAGCACGGGGGCAACCCUGGUGGCGAGUGGCGAACGGGUGAGUAAUACAUCGGAACGUGUCCUGGAGUGGGGGAUAGCCCGGCGAAAGCCGGAUUAAUACCGCAUACGCUCGGGAGAGGAAAGCGGGGGACCUUCGGGCCUCGCGCUCAAGGGGCGGCCGAUGGCGGAUUAGCUAGUUGGUGGGGUAAAGGCCUACCAAGGCGACGAUCCGUAGCUGGUCUGAGAGGACGACCAGCCACACUGGGACUGAGACACGGCCCAGACUCCUACGGGAGGCAGCAGUGGGGAAUUUUGGACAAUGGGGGCAACCCUGAUCCAGCAAUGCCGCGUGUGCGAAGAAGGCCUUCGGGUUGUAAAGCACUUUUGUCCGGAAAGAAAUCCUGCCUGAUAAUACCGGGCGGGGAUGACGGUACCGGAAGAAUAAGCACCGGCUAACUACGUGCCAGCAGCCGCGGUAAUACGUAGGGUGCGAGCGUUAAUCGGAAUUACUGGGCGUAAAGCGUGCGCAGGCGGUUCGCUAAGACCGAUGUGAAAUCCCCGGGCUUAACCUGGGAACUGCAUUGGUGACUGGCGGGCUAGAGUAUGGCAGAGGGGGGUAGAAUUCCACGUGUAGCAGUGAAAUGCGUAGAGAUGUGGAGGAAUACCGAUGGCGAAGGCAGCCCCCUGGGCCAAUACUGACGCUCAUGCACGAAAGCGUGGGGAGCAAACAGG